Molecule: ribosomal RNA, 253 nt
Filed under: uncultured bacterium
Lineage: Bacteria
Description: partial 16S ribosomal RNA
Rfam family: Bacterial small subunit ribosomal RNA
Source: RNAcentral
GACGUAGGGCGCGAGCGUUGUCCGGAAUCAUUGGGCGUAAAGGGCGCGUAGGUGGCGGGACAAGCGUGCGGUGAAAGCUCGGGGCUCAACCCCGCGUCGGCCGUGCGAACUGUUUUGCUUGAGCACUGUAGAGGCAGGCGGAAUUCCGGGUGUAGCGGUGGAAUGCGUAGAGAUCCGGAAGAACACCGGUGGCGAAGGCGGCCUGCUGGGCAGUAGCUGACACUGAGGCGCGACAGCGUGGGGAGCAAACAGG